CAGAGUAUUUACAGGUCCUUCCUCUGUCACAUAAGGACCAGUUGGAGCAAGCAUGCCAGACCUUGCUAUCCCGACUGACUUUCAUUUGAGAAAAUCUAUUCUAAUAGGAUUUCCUGGAGGGCUACUGUAACACCAGAACACCAGAAAACAGUACAUUGACUUCAAUAACUUUGUAAACAAGGAUGAUACCUAUUCUCCGGGCCAUGGCAAGUUUCCC
Long non-coding RNA from Lepidothrix coronata (blue-crowned manakin), 217 nucleotides. RefSeq lists it as uncharacterized. NCBI's taxonomy places the organism in Eukaryota, Metazoa, Chordata, Aves, Passeriformes, Pipridae. The record is from RefSeq and is a predicted model, not a curated record. The transcript has 3 exons.